AAAUGAGAACGAUUAUGCUAAAGUACUACGGAUGUUUUCUAGUAAAAAUACAACCACAAUAUCAUAUCUUCAAGAGCAUAAGUACAUCAUAACUUCAAGUACAAAAGUUAUUGAGUUUUUUAUUAGCCUUAGUAUUGAUCUAUGAUCGCGCAAGAAUGACUAAGCCAGUUUUAAAAUCGUUGCGUGGCUGGUUUUAGAUUAAUGAGACCGGCGUAGUCAUUCUCUUCCGAUCGUCUUAUCAAUUCUUGCCUGACAUCGAUAAUAUACUUAUGCAUGCAUCUGAUGAAUUCGCUUGAUUCCGUAAUCUCAUUGAUGAUUAGAAUCAAGAUGUCACUUAAUAAAGCGUCGUCGGAGGGACAGCAAAAUUUCACAACUGAGCAAGUGUGAACUGGAUCAUUGUCGGGCGGCCGGAAAAAAACACGCGAGUCCCUAAAACAGAACCCCCGCAUGGUUUUCACGCGAUUCCCUUGAAAUACGGCUGCCCUACAAAACAUUUACGAGGAAAGAUUUCUUGAAAUUUCAAAAGCAGUUGGACGUGUGUGUAGCCCGUGUAGUCUUUUUAAAUGGGAAAUUCCUGAUUUUUCACGAAGGGAAAGUCUCUCUCUAAAAAAAAAAAAAAAAAAAAAGAGAAUUGUUCCAUCACCUGAAAUUUAUUUUUAGAUUUAAGAAAAGCAAAGGAGAUAAUCCUUUAAUAUAUACUGGCAAAUACGUGUGUGAUCAUUUUAAUCUUUCGUGAUCCCUCUUAUCGACAUGUUUUGGUUGUUUCCGGUUUCUAACCACUGAUCACAAGGUCAUAUCGAUCCGCCUCAUGAAGCAAGUACGCUUAUCAGUUGAAGGUAAUCAGGGAUGGUACACAUGGCAACGUCUCCUGAGAUGGGAGAUUCUCUUGCUGGGAGGUAAAUAGCAAUGAUGGCACUUUCGUAUUUUUAUAACCGUUAUCUUUAUUACUUGUGGCCACGGGAAAUUUUCAUAAUUGGAAAAACAGUGGAAAAAGAUUUAUUCACUUGUAAUCGCUCUUC
Molecule: long non-coding RNA, 1019 nt
Organism: Pocillopora damicornis (cauliflower coral)
Lineage: Eukaryota; Metazoa; Cnidaria; Anthozoa; Scleractinia; Pocilloporidae
Source: RefSeq, a predicted model, not a curated record